CACAUAUUCCCUCCGUUCCGAAUUACUACUUGUUUUGGAUUUGUCUAGAUAUAGAUGUAUCUAGACUCAUUUUAAUGCUAGAUAUAUCUGUAUCUAGACAAAUCUAAGACAAGUAAUUCGGAAUGGAGGAGUACAAC
Non-coding RNA from Triticum aestivum (bread wheat), 137 nucleotides. Lineage: Eukaryota; Viridiplantae; Streptophyta; Magnoliopsida; Poales; Poaceae. The record is from Rfam.